UACGUAGGGUGCAAGCGUUGUCCGGAAUUAUUGGGCGUAAAGAGCUUGUAGGCGGUUUGUCGCGUCUGCUGUGAAAUUUCGGGGCUCAACCCCGAACUUGCAGUGGGUACGGGCAGACUAGAGUGUGGUAGGGGAGACUGGAAUUCCUGGUGUAGCGGUGAAAUGCGCAGAUAUCAGGAGGAACACCGAUGGCGAAAGCAGGUCUCUGGGCCACUACUGACGCUGAGAAGCGAAAGCAUGGGGAGCGAACAGG
This 253-nucleotide ribosomal RNA is filed under the name uncultured bacterium. Its description in RNAcentral is "partial 16S ribosomal RNA". It matches the Rfam family "Bacterial small subunit ribosomal RNA", at positions 524 to 776 of the family's 1533-position model. The record is from RNAcentral.